RNAcentral lists this unclassified non-coding RNA (657 nucleotides) under Hevea brasiliensis (rubber tree). The record is from RNAcentral. Lineage: Eukaryota; Viridiplantae; Streptophyta; Magnoliopsida; Malpighiales; Euphorbiaceae.
GAAAUUGACCUAAUAAGUUCAAAACAUGGCAUGAAACCAGACUCCAGUACCUGACAACCUAAAUGUGAUAAUACCUAUAAAUGUAAUGUUUCAUCUCAGAGGAAGUACCAGAGCAGAAGUUUCAUUCUUAUGCAGCAACAACAUAAACAUAAACAUAAAAUUAUGAAAUAAAAACAUGAAAUGCUUAUAGCCUUGCUGCAAACGUAGAGAAUGUCUAUGACAUCAUAAAUUGGAGAACAGAAAAUCGUCAAAAAGAAAUCACUCUCUCAAUACCUCAUGAAAGACAGCCGAAACGAAGAAGGCAAUAAUUAAGGCUAUCCCCUGAUCAUUGCAAAAAGAUGGAACAAUUGUCAGCAACAACCAACAAGAAAGUACUAAUGGUGACUUAAUUAGCAGAAGUUGAGAUGAGAAAGAAUUAGCACAAACAUUAAUAGAUAUGCCAAAAAGAAUGCUCAAUUUUGAAAAUUUGAAGAUAAAACAAUUAAGUAUUAUGCCUUUUAAGGCAUAUGGCACAUAGCGAAGCUCCAAUCGUAGAUUACGGAAAGGAACAAUAUGAAAUGAUGACAAAAGCAGAGACAGUAAUACAUCAUAAGGAAACAUCUGUUUACAUUGAAAGAAUACAGCAUUUAUUGCACUCUAAGGUGAGAAGCAUAGUUA